AAGUCGUAACAAGGUUUCCGUAGGUGAACCUGCGGAAGGAUCAUUAACACGUAUCCAAACGUUAAACCCCCCUGUGAACCUUCAGUGUACUCGUACGUCCGUUAGAAAAAGCAGCAAUCCCUGGUAAAUCAUCGCCGAACAGUUUUCGAUUCAGGGACGUCUGCAAGGAGCGUGCAUGUUGUGCGAAGCAAGUGGCCUGGCAUCCCCAAGCAGUUAGUGUCUGAAAGUGUCAUUAACUGUGUAAGGAUGACGCAGUCACGAUCGUUGGAGGCCCACACGGCCGACGACCGGGUCACUGGGCGCAAGCCCCCCUAUAACAAACCCCCUGCCAAUCGCGGCCGCGAUAAUACGCAGUCGACCAAAAACCGAACAACUGUUAACAAUGGAUAUCUUGGUUCUC
Molecule: unclassified non-coding RNA, 400 nt
Filed under: fungal sp.
Lineage: Eukaryota; Fungi
Description: partial internal transcribed spacer region
Rfam family: Eukaryotic small subunit ribosomal RNA (bases 1-46)
Source: RNAcentral